CCUACGGGCGACAGCAGUGGGGGAUAUUGCACAAUGGGGGAAACCCUGAUGCAGCGACGCCGCGUGGGUGAAGAAGUAUUUCGGUAUGUAAAGCCCUAUCAGCAGGGAAGAAAGAAGACGGUACCUGACUAAGAAGCCCCGGCUAACUACGUGCCAGCAGCCGCGGUAAUACGUAGGGGGCGAGCGUUAUCCGGAUUCACUGGGUGUAAAGGGAGCGUAGACGGCCGUGCAAGCCAGGAGUGAAAGCCCGGGGCCCAACCCCGGGACUGCUCUUGGAACUGUGCGGCUGGAGUGCGGGAGGGGCAGGCGGAAUUCCUGGUGUAGCGGUGAAAUGCGUAGAUAUCAGGAGGAACACCGGCGGCGAAGGCGGCCUGCUGGACCGCGACUGACGUUGAGGCUCGAAAGCGUGGGGAGCGAACAGGAUUAGAUACCCUAGUAGUC
RNAcentral lists this ribosomal RNA (441 nucleotides) under uncultured bacterium. RNAcentral's name for it is "partial 16S ribosomal RNA". It matches the Rfam family "Bacterial small subunit ribosomal RNA", at positions 338 to 795 of the family's 1533-position model. The record is from RNAcentral.